UGGGAACGUGCCUUUUGGUUCGGAACAACCCAGGGAAACUUGGGCUAAUACCGGAUAAGCCCUUACGGGGAAAGAUUUAUCGCCAAAAGAUCGGCCCGCGUCUGAUUAGCUAGUUGGUGGGGUAAUGGCCCACCAAGGCUACGAUCAGUAGCUGGUCUGAGAGGAUGAUCAGCCACACUGGGACUGAGACACGGCCCAGACUCCUACGGGAGGCAG
RNAcentral lists this ribosomal RNA (216 nucleotides) under uncultured bacterium. Its description in RNAcentral is "partial 16S ribosomal RNA". It matches the Rfam family "Bacterial small subunit ribosomal RNA", at positions 118 to 351 of the family's 1533-position model. The record is from RNAcentral.